GCGCCGUUGGUCCAGUGGCAGGACAGUGGCUUCCCAAGCCACUAGCCCGGGUUCGAUUCCCGGACGGUGCA
This 71-nucleotide transfer RNA is filed under the name Halobacteriales archaeon QH_3_68_24. RNAcentral describes it as "tRNA-Gly". It matches the Rfam family "tRNA". From Rfam's summary of the family: Transfer RNA (tRNA) molecules are approximately 80 nucleotides in length. Their secondary structure includes four short double-helical elements and three loops (D, anti-codon, and T loops). RNAcentral also lists the same sequence under 2 other names. The record is from RNAcentral. Lineage: Archaea; Methanobacteriati; Methanobacteriota; Halobacteria; Halobacteriales.